RNAcentral lists this ribosomal RNA (778 nucleotides) under uncultured Neocallimastigales. RNAcentral describes it as "partial large subunit ribosomal RNA". It matches the Rfam family "Eukaryotic large subunit ribosomal RNA", at positions 22 to 639 of the family's 3401-position model. Lineage: Eukaryota; Fungi; Neocallimastigomycota; Neocallimastigomycetes; Neocallimastigales. The record is from RNAcentral.
GUACACGCUGUGACUAGCAUAUCAAUAAGCGGAGGAAAAGAAACUAACAAGGAUUCCCCUAGUAACGGCGGAGUGAAGCGGGAAGAGCUCAAAUUUGAAAUCUUAAAGGGUUUCCCUUUACGAAUUGUAGUUUAAAGAAGUGUUUUCUGUUGAGGUUUUGGUAAAAGUUCUUUGGAAUAGGACAUCAUAGAGGGUGAGAAUCCCGUAUUUGACCUUUACUUUCAACUUUGUGAUACACUUUCAAAGAGUCGGAUUGUUUGGGAAUGCAGUCCAAAAUGGGUGGUAAAUUUCAUCUAAAGCUAAAUAUUGGCGAGAGACCGAUAGCGAACAAGUACCGUGAGGGAAAGGAUGAAAAGAACUUUGAAAAGAGAGUUAAACAGUACGUGAAAUUGUCAAAAGGGAAGCGUUUGGACACCAGUGUUGUUUUUCUGAAAAUCAAUUAAAGAACUGUUUAUGCUAAGCUGUUUAGACUUUAUCAGCUAACUGUUUAGUUUUGAGCUUUUCUUUAAUGCACUUUUCAGUUAACAAGUCAACAUCAAUUUCUUUUGCUGUAAAAAAGCUUGAGGAAGGUGGCUUGAGAUUCGUCUUAAGUGUUUAUAGCCUCUUGCCUAUGCAGUCGGAGAGACUUGAGGUCUGCAGCGUAGAUCCUUCGGGGCUAAAUGCAUUUGUGCUAAGUUAUAGCAUUUUAUAGACAACUUGUUGACUAUGAUUUGUCUUGUAGCUUACUCGCUUAUGUUAUUUUACCUACGCUUAGGAUGUUGAGUCGUAGAGCACGCAG